AGUGAACGCUGGCGGUAGGCCUAACACAUGCAAGUCGAACGGCAGCACAGUAAGAGCUUGCUCUUACGGGUGGCGAGUGGCGGACGGGUGAGGAAUACAUCGGAAUCUACUUUUUCGUGGGGGAUAACGUAGGGAAACUUACGCUAAUACCGCAUACGACCUACGGGUGAAAGCAGGGGAUCUUCGGACCUUGCGCGAUUGAAUGAGCCGAUGUCGGAUUAGCUAGUUGGCGGGGUAAAGGCCCACCAAGGCGACGAUCCGUAGCUGGUCUGAGAGGAUGAUCAGCCACACUGGAACUGAGACACGGUCCAGACUCCUACGGGAGGCAGCAGUGGGGAAUAUUGGACAAAGGGCGCAAGCCUGAUCCAGCCAUACCGCGUGGGUGAAGAAGGCCUUCGGGUUGUAAAGCCCUUUUGUUGGGAAAGAAAAGCAGCAGGUUAAUACCCCGCUGUUCUGACGGUACCCAAAGAAUAAGCACCGGCUAACUUCGUA
This 492-nucleotide ribosomal RNA is filed under the name uncultured bacterium. Its description in RNAcentral is "partial 16S ribosomal RNA". It matches the Rfam family "Bacterial small subunit ribosomal RNA", at positions 29 to 507 of the family's 1533-position model. The record is from RNAcentral.